This 583-nucleotide ribosomal RNA is filed under the name Salmonella enterica subsp. enterica serovar Enteritidis. RNAcentral describes it as "partial 23S ribosomal RNA". It matches the Rfam family "Bacterial large subunit ribosomal RNA", at positions 161 to 643 of the family's 2925-position model. Lineage: Bacteria; Pseudomonadati; Pseudomonadota; Gammaproteobacteria; Enterobacterales; Enterobacteriaceae. The record is from RNAcentral.
AAUCCAUAGGUUAAUGAGGCGAACCGGGGGAACUGAAACAUCUAAGUACCCCGAGGAAAAGAAAUCAACCGAGAUUCCCCCAGUAGCGGCGAGCGAACGGGGAGGAGCCCAGAGCCUGAAUCAGCAUGUGUGUUAGUGGAAGCGUCUGGAAAGGCGCGCGAUACAGGGUGACAGCCCCGUACACAAAAGCGCAUGUGCUGUGAGCUCGAUGAGUAGGGCGGGACACGUGGUAUCCUGUCUGAAUAUGGGGGGACCAUCCUCCAAGGCUAAAUACUCCUGACUGACCGAUAGUGAACCAGUACCGUGAGGGAAAGGCGAAAAGAACCCCGGCGAGGGGAGUGAAAAAGAACCUGAAACCGUGUACGUACAAGCAGUGGGAGCCCCACCACCAAAGCAUUUGCUGUACCGCGUUGACGGAGCGAAGCGACGUCAAACCGAUAAAACAGCAGUGUAAAGUGAGCCGCAGGGCGCUUUGCGCGACAGCGCAAAGGCAGGCGGUUUCGCGUAGCGAAAGCGAAUGCUUUGGGGUGGGGUGACUGCGUACCUUUUGUAUAAUGGGUCAGCGACUUAUAUUCUGUAGCAA